Talpa occidentalis (Iberian mole) is the source of this 107-nucleotide small nucleolar RNA. RefSeq annotates it as small nucleolar RNA U13. The transcript has a single exon. NCBI's taxonomy places the organism in Eukaryota, Metazoa, Chordata, Mammalia, Eulipotyphla, Talpidae. The record is from RefSeq and is a predicted model, not a curated record.
AUCCUUUUCCCGUUCAUAAGCAUGAUGAUUGGGUGUUCACGUGGCUGUGUGAGAUGUGCCUCCCUUAAACUUUAUUACAACAUCGGCACAUUACCCUUCUUGUGAAA